GCUGUACAUGAUGAUAGCUUGGCUCCCUCUACUGAAAAUGGUGAGGAUAAUAGCCAUGUCACCCAAUAGUAUCUGAACGUACAGC
Molecule: non-coding RNA, 85 nt
Organism: Ornithorhynchus anatinus (platypus)
Lineage: Eukaryota; Metazoa; Chordata; Mammalia; Monotremata; Ornithorhynchidae
Source: Rfam